AACGCAUAUUGCGCCCGAGGCUUCGGCCAAGGGCAUGUCUGCCUCAGCGUCGGGUAAUACUCACCCAACCAAUCCCUGGUUGAGUGGAUCUGGCUUUCCCAGGCCUCGUGUCUGGGUUUGCUGAAGCAUAGAGGUUGAUGCAUGGACCCGCUAAGGGCUGCAACUGGGUAGGCAAUCUAUUUGCUAAUGCUUUAGUUGUUGGCUUGGGACUGUGCUGGUCGACCCGAAAUCAGGAAGAGCUUCGGCUCUAAACCCAUUUUCUCGACCUGAGCUCAGGCAAGAACACCCGCUGAACUUAA
RNAcentral lists this unclassified non-coding RNA (299 nucleotides) under uncultured soil eukaryote. RNAcentral's name for it is "sequence contains 5.8S rRNA gene, ITS2, 28S rRNA gene". The record is from RNAcentral.